RNAcentral lists this ribosomal RNA (253 nucleotides) under uncultured bacterium. RNAcentral describes it as "partial 16S ribosomal RNA". It matches the Rfam family "Bacterial small subunit ribosomal RNA", at positions 524 to 776 of the family's 1533-position model. The record is from RNAcentral. RNAcentral also lists the same sequence under 1 other name.
UACGAAGGGGGCUAGCGUUGUUCGGAAUCACUGGGCGUAAAGGGCGCGUAGGCGGCCGAUCAAGUCGGGGGUGAAAGCCUGUGGCUCAACCACAGAAUUGCCUUCGAUACUGUUUGGCUUGAGACCGGAAGAGGUUAGUGGAACUGCGAGUGUAGAGGUGAAAUUCGUAGAUAUUCGCAAGAACACCAGUGGCGAAGGCGGCUGACUGGUCCGGUUCUGACGCUGAGGCGCGAAAGCGUGGGGAGCAAACAGG